GAUCAUGGCUCAGAUUGAACGCUGGCGGAACGCUUUACACAUGCAAGUCGAACGGUAACGUGGGGAGGAGCUUGCUCCGCCCCGACGACGAGUGGCGAACGGGUGAGUAAUACAUCGGAACGUGUCCGCUCGUGGGGGACAACCAGCCGAAAAGGUUGGCUAAUACCGCAUGAGUUCUACGGAAGAAAGGGGGGGACCCGCAAGGGCCUCUCGCGAGCGGAGCGGCCGAUGACUGAUUAGCCUGUUGGUGAGGUAACGG
This 259-nucleotide ribosomal RNA is filed under the name uncultured bacterium. Its description in RNAcentral is "partial 16S ribosomal RNA". It matches the Rfam family "Bacterial small subunit ribosomal RNA", at positions 15 to 263 of the family's 1533-position model. The record is from RNAcentral.